GCUGGGGUGGCCGAGCGGUUUAAGGCGCAUGCCUGCUAAUCAGGCAAUGCCAGAUUCGAAUCCCAGCCCCAGCG
This 74-nucleotide transfer RNA is filed under the name Candidatus Aenigmarchaeota archaeon ex4484_56. Its description in RNAcentral is "tRNA-Ser". It matches the Rfam family "tRNA". From Rfam's summary of the family: Transfer RNA (tRNA) molecules are approximately 80 nucleotides in length. Their secondary structure includes four short double-helical elements and three loops (D, anti-codon, and T loops). Further hydrogen bonds mediate the characteristic L-shaped molecular structure. tRNAs have two regions of fundamental functional importance: the anti-codon, which is responsible for specific mRNA codon recognition, and the 3' end, to which the tRNAs corresponding amino acid is attached (by aminoacyl-tRNA synthetases). tRNAs cope with the degeneracy of the genetic code in two manners: having more than one tRNA (with a specific anti-codon) for a particular amino acid; and 'wobble' base-pairing, i.e. permitting non-standard base-pairing at the 3rd anti-codon position. The record is from RNAcentral. Lineage: Archaea; Nanobdellati; Candidatus Aenigmatarchaeota.